GGAGGGGUGGCCGAGCCUGGUCCAAGGCACCCGGUUGCUAACCGGGGCUCGGUUAGAAGCCGAGCCGUGGGUUCAAAUCCCGCCCCCUCCGCCA
This 94-nucleotide transfer RNA is filed under the name Pseudomonadota bacterium. RNAcentral's name for it is "tRNA-Ser". It matches the Rfam family "tRNA". From Rfam's summary of the family: Transfer RNA (tRNA) molecules are approximately 80 nucleotides in length. Their secondary structure includes four short double-helical elements and three loops (D, anti-codon, and T loops). RNAcentral also lists the same sequence under 3 other names. The record is from RNAcentral. Lineage: Bacteria; Pseudomonadati; Pseudomonadota.